Molecule: long non-coding RNA, 1119 nt
Organism: Pectinophora gossypiella (pink bollworm)
Lineage: Eukaryota; Metazoa; Arthropoda; Insecta; Lepidoptera; Gelechiidae
Exons: 3
Source: RefSeq, a predicted model, not a curated record
AAAAAAAUGAACGUAGUUUAUUAUUUACAUUUUUUUGGUCUCGUUUCGUUUCUCAAGUUCUUUGAUAUUUUCCUACUUAUUUCCUAUUUUGUUACAAUUUGUAGCUUACAAGUUCAUCGAAUCGAGCCCUACUUCCCCGUUUUUGCGUCGGCAUUCUACUGUAAAAACUUCCAGAACCAUUAUGUAUUUUGGAAAGAGCUGAUAUGAUAAAAAGUUUGUCUAUAAUGUGUUAGAUGCUGAUCGACUUUGUCAUACUAACUAAGAGAUGCAAGCAACAAUAACAAGUCUCUUAAAGAAUGUUCCAGUCCAGAGAGUUGGAAACAAUUAUUGUGUCUGUAUAAGUUGUGGAAUAUCUUUGCACAGGCACUCAAAAAGACAAACUCACAGGCCAUAGGCUUAUGGAAAAAAGGGUUAAGUGGUAUUAUAUUGAAAAACAAAUAUCAGACAGAUGCCUGAUGGAUGCCCAUGUAUGGGUUGUUUGCAGGAUGAGCUCACCUCAAAAGCAUGAGCUCUAGAGAACAUUAAAGUUGUGUUAAGUGUGCCAGUGCAUUGUACCUUAUCUAGUUAGUAGCUAGGUAUUAGCUGGAAAUAUUUUGUUCAUAGAUUUUGUGAAACUAUAAGCUUAAAUCACUUUAUCAUAUUAUCAUAUCAUUAAAUAGAAAAAAAAUAGGUAUGUAUAUUUUAAUAUAGUAUAAUGUUAUUGUUAAGUUUAUUCCAUACCAAGUCUGUUAAAAAAUCAUAAGUAGGUAUAUGGUCUUCUUCUAUCAUAUAGGUUGUGAGGUGGAUGACCAACCUCAUAAACCCUGGUAUCAAGGUUAUUACUCAGCCACCAAAGUCCCCUGACAUGGGUUUUGUAACAACCAUGUAUUUACAUCGAUAAGUAGUAACCGGGACCAAUGGCUUAACAUGCCAUCGGAAGCACAAUCGGGUGAUCAGCCAGCCGUGUCCUAACUAACUGGGGAUUACAAAGUAACUUUUGUGAUAUGGCCCCACCAUGAUUCAAGCUUUGGAUCGUGACCCCAGCGAUCAACGACUGGACCACAGAGGCUGAGACUACUUGGUUAAGUUAAUGUUUUAUUUAAACUAUUUGAUUUUAAAUGUAUAAAUUUUAAAUAUAAU